GGCGGCGUGCUUAACACAUGCAAGUCGAACGAACCUUCGGGUUAGUGGCGGACGGGUGAGUAACGCGUGAGAAUCUGCCCUUAGGAGGGGGAUAACGGCUGGAAACGGCCGCUAGUACCCCAUAUGCCGAGAGGUGAAAUGAAUUUCGCCUGAGGAUGAGCUCGCGUCUGAUUAGCUAGUUGGUGUGGUAAAGGCUCACCAAGGCAUCGAUCAGUAGCUGGUCUGAGAGGAUGAUCAGCCACACUGGGACUGAGACACGGCCCAGACUCCUACGGGAGGCAGCAGUGGGGAAUUUUCCGCAAUGGGCGCAAGCCUGACGGAGCAACGCCGCGUGAGGGAUGAAGGCCUCUGGGCUGUAAACCUCUUUUUAUCAAGGAAGAAGAUCUGACGGUACUUGAUGAAUAAGCCACGGCUAAUUCCGUGCCAGCAGCCGCGGUAAUACGGGAGUGGCAAGCGUUAUCCGGAAUUAUUGGGCGUAAAGCGUCCGCAGGCGGUCUUGAAAGUCUGUUGUUAAAGCGUGGAGCUCAACUCCAUUUCAGCAAUGGAAACUAGAAGACUAGAGUGUGGUAGGGGCAGAGGGAAUUCCCGGUGUAGCGGUGAAAUGCGUAGAUAUCGGGAAGAACACCAGUGGCGAAGGCGCUCUGCUGGGCCAUAACUGACGCUCAUGGACGAAAGCCAGGGGAGCGAAAGGGAUUAGAUACCCCUGUAGUCCUGGCCGUAAACGAUGAACACUAGGUGUCGGGGGAAUCGACCCCCUCGGUGUCGUAGCCAACGCGUUAAGUGUUCCGCCUGGGGAGUACGCACGCAAGUGUGAAACUCAAAGGAAUUGACGGGGGCCCGCACAAGCGGUGGAGUAUGUGGUUUAAUUCGAUGCAACGCGAAGAACCUUACCAGGGUUUGACAUCCUGCGAAUCCCUUGGAAACUUGGGAGUGCCUUCGGGAGCGCAGUGACAGGAGGUGCAUGGCUGUCGUCAGCUCGUGUCGUGAGAUGUUGGGUUAAGUCCCGCAACGAGCGCAACCCACGUCUUUAGUUGUCAGCAUUAAGUUGGGCACUCUAGAGAGACUGCCGGUGAUAAACCGGAGGAAGGUGUGGAUGACGUCAAGUCAUCAUGCCCCUUACAUCCUGGGCUACACACGUACUACAAUGCUACGGACAAAGGGCAGCAAACUCGCGAGAGCUAGCAAAUCCCAUAAACCGUGGCUCAGUUCAGAUCGUAGGCUGCAACUCGCCUACGUGAAGGAGGAAUCGCUAGUAAUCGCAGGUCAGCAUACUGCGGUGAAUACGUUCCCGGGCCUUGUAC
This 1301-nucleotide ribosomal RNA is filed under the name metagenome. Its description in RNAcentral is "bacterial SSU rRNA". It matches the Rfam family "Bacterial small subunit ribosomal RNA", at positions 38 to 1386 of the family's 1533-position model. The record is from RNAcentral.